Molecule: ribosomal RNA, 251 nt
Filed under: uncultured bacterium
Lineage: Bacteria
Description: partial 16S ribosomal RNA
Rfam family: Bacterial small subunit ribosomal RNA
Source: RNAcentral
UACGUAGGAGGCGAGCGUUGUCCGGAGUUACUGGGCGUAAAGCGCACGCAGGCGGUCAGAUCAGUCUGGAGUGACAGUCGUCGGCUUAACCGACGAAGUGUUCUGGAAACUGUCUGACUUGAGGGCUUCAGAGGGACACGGAAUCCGGGUGGAGUGGUGAAAUGCGUAGAUAUCGCUUGGAACGCCAAAGGUGAAAACAGGUUGCUGGGGUUGUGCCGACGCUGAGACACGAAAGCCAGGGAGCAAACGGG